RNAcentral lists this ribosomal RNA (429 nucleotides) under Chloroflexota bacterium. RNAcentral describes it as "Chloroflexi bacterium partial 16S ribosomal RNA". It matches the Rfam family "Bacterial small subunit ribosomal RNA", at positions 355 to 776 of the family's 1533-position model. Lineage: Bacteria; Bacillati; Chloroflexota. The record is from RNAcentral.
UGGGGAAUAUUGCACAAUGGGCGCAAGCCUGAUGCAGCCAUGCCGCGUGUGUGAAGAAGGCCUUCGGGUUGUAAAGCACUUUCAGCGGGGAGGAAGGCGAUAAGGUUAAUAACCUUGUCGAUUGACGUUACCCGCAGAAGAAGCACCGGCUAACUCCGUGCCAGCAGCCGCGGUAAUACGGAGGGUGCAAGCGUUAAUCGGAAUUACUGGGCGUAAAGCGCACGCAGGCGGUCUGUCAAGUCGGAUGUGAAAUCCCCGGGCUCAACCUGGGAACUGCAUUCGAAACUGGCAGGCUAGAGUCUUGUAGAGGGGGGUAGAAUUCCAGGUGUAGCUGUGAAAUGCGUAGAGAUCUGGAGGAAUACCGGUGGCGAAGGCGGCCCCCUGGACAAAGACUGACGCUCAGGUGCGAAAGCGUGGGGAGCAAACAGG